GAUGGUAGCCUAGGCAAAAAAAUACAGGACGUUUAACAACGAAAUUUCAUGAAGAGAUGUAUAGAAAUCAGUGACGUAUGAAUCUCCUUUGGGAAACCUUUAUGAAAAAACCGAGUGAAUUGAAACAUCUUAUUAACUCGAAAAAAAAAUCAACCGAGAGCCUGUUAGUAGCGGUGAGCGAAUAUGGGUAAGGCCCUAUUCAUGAAUAGAUUCUUUAUUCUUAACUUUAAAAGUUAUUGAAAAUCUUGCCAAAGAAGGUAAAAGCCCUGUGUCUCUUAAGAGUAAAAAAUUUUUCUAUGAUUGAAUAAGUGAGUUUUUCAAAACUGAACAAGAAUAGUAUGCUUGCAUACGUUUUUAAGGGGUACCACCCUCUAAGCCUUUAUCGUUUUUUUUGACCGAUAGUGAACAAGUACUGUGAAGGAAAGGUAUGAAAAGAAAUCCGAAAUCCGGAUGUGAAAAAGAAUCGACAAAUCCGAUAUUGACAAUCAGUCGUUGCAAAGCGGCGUACCUUUUGCAUAAUGGGUCAGCGAGUAAGGAAAAAAAGCAAGCUUAAACCCAUAGGUGUAGGCUUAAUGAAAGUGAAAUGAGUUUUUUUUUCUUGACCCGAAACCGAGUGAUCUAGUUAUGAGCAAGUUGAAAGAAUGGUAAUACAUUUUGGAGGACUGAACCUGUGUCUGUGGCAAAAGACUAGGAUGACUUGUGGCUAGGGGUGAAAAGCCAAUCGAACUCGGAGAUAGCUGGUUUUCUGCGAAAUUUAUUGAGGUAAAGCGUUUGCUUUUUUUGUACCCAUAGGAGGUAGAGCACUCGUUAAAGGCAAUUGAGCUUUUUAGUGAAACUCCGAAUACUUAUGGAAGUUUAAGGCAAGCAGACAGACACUGAAUGCUAAGGUCCAGUGUCAAGAGGGAAACAGCCCAGAUUAUAUGUUAAGGUCCCAAAGCUUUCGCUGUGUGGGAAAGGAAGUCUUUGAACUAUGACAACCAGCAGAUUGGCUUGGAAGCAGCCAUUCUUUGAAGAAAGCGUAACAGCUCACUGGUCGAGUUCAAAAGUAGCGCCAAAGAUGUGCGGGGCUUAAGCGAAACACCGAAACAAUAAUUAUAUUUAAAAAAAUAUAAGGUAGCAGAACGUUCUGUAAUUCAAUGAAGGAAAUCUGAAAAGAUAAAAAAAUCUGGAGAUAUCAGAAGUGAGAAUGCUGACAUGAGUAACGAAAAAUCAUGUGAUAUUCAUGAUCGCCGAAAGUCCAAGGGUUUCUGCGCACCGCAAAUCGACGCAGAGUAAACCGGCCCCUAAGAGGUUAAAAGAAAUUUUAACUCGAUGGGAAUAUUUAAAAAAGUAGAUUAUAGAUUGACGAAUUUUUAUUAGCUUUAGUUUAUUAUAGGAUUUAAACUAUAUUUAAAGAAAUUCCAGGAAAUAACUAUAAUAAUCUGUACCGUACCCUAAACCGACUCUGGUGGACAGGUUGAAAAAACUAAGGCGUUGGGAGAACCAUGUUGAAGGAACUCGGCAAAAUACCUCUGUAACUUUGGGAGAAAGAGGACCAAAAAUUUGGUGGCACAAAAAUGAGAGCGGCGCCUGUUUAUUAAAAACACAGGGCUCUGCAAAAUGAUUACAUUAUGUAUAGGGCCUGACACCUGCCCGGUGCUGGAAAGAUAGAGAUGGAGAUUCAUCAAUGGAUAGCCACUUAAUAACCAGUAAACGGCGGCUGUAACACUAACAGUCCUAAGGUAGCAAAAUUCCUCGGCACUUAAUUGGUGUCCUGCACGAAUGGUGUAACGAUCGCUCUACUGUCUCCAACAUGGACCCAGUGAAAUUGAAUUCUCCGUGCAGAUGCGGAGUACUAGCAGCUAGACGGUAAGACCCUGUGCACCUUUACUAUAGCUUUGCAUUGGCAAACCUUAUAAAAUGUAUAGAAUAGGUGGGAGGUUAUAAACCAAACGUGGAAUACCACCCUUUUCAUAGGGUUUUCCUUACUAAUUUAAAUUUAGGACAGUGCAUGGUGGGUAGUUUUUCUGGGGCGGAAGCCUGCUAAAAAGUAACGGAGGCGUGCAAAGGUAAGCUCAAAUUGGUCGGAAAUCAAUUGAAGAGCGUAAUGGUAAAAGCUUGCCUGACUGCAAGACCUACAAGUCGAGCAGGGACGAAAAGUCGGCCAUAGUGACCCGGGAGUUCUGUGUGGAAGGGCUCUCGCUUAACGGAUCAAAGGUACGCCAGGGAUAACAGACUAAUUACCCCCAAGAGUUCAUAUCGACGGGGUAGUUUGGCACCUCGAUGUCAGCUUGUCACAUCCUCGGGGUGAAGAAGCUCCGAAGGGUCGGGCUGUUCGCCCGUAAAAGUGGUACGUGAGCCGGGUUUAAUACGUUGUAAAACAGUAUGGUUCCUAUCUACUGCUAGUGUUAUGAAACUGAAGGAAGAAAGUCGUCGUACGAAAGGAACCGAACUUUGCAACCCCUGGUGGAUAAGUUGUUGUGCCAAUGGCAUUGCUUAGUAGCUACGUUGCCUAAUUUUAACUGCUGAAAGCAUCUAAGCAGGAAAUUUUACCUGAAACAAGUUUCAAUUUACAAACCGUGAAAGAUUAUCACGUGAUAGGCACUAAGUGUAUAGGUAGUAAUACAAAAAGCUUAUGUGUACUAAG
RNAcentral lists this ribosomal RNA (2626 nucleotides) under Tetraselmis striata. RNAcentral's name for it is "partial Bacterial large subunit ribosomal RNA". It matches the Rfam family "Bacterial large subunit ribosomal RNA". The record is from RNAcentral. Lineage: Eukaryota; Viridiplantae; Chlorophyta; Chlorodendrophyceae; Chlorodendrales; Chlorodendraceae.